Long non-coding RNA from Xenopus laevis (African clawed frog), 297 nucleotides. RefSeq lists it as uncharacterized. NCBI's taxonomy places the organism in Eukaryota, Metazoa, Chordata, Amphibia, Anura, Pipidae. The transcript has 2 exons. The record is from RefSeq and is a predicted model, not a curated record.
GCGUGCAGAAAAACCCAGCAAAAAGACCAAGCGCACGGCAGCUUCUCCAUCACCCCUUUAUCAGCAACCUGUGUGAUGAAGCAGCUGUGAAGAGGAGCAUUGCAAAACAACUGCAAAGAGGCUGGAAGAACUGAAGACCUGAGGCAGCCAUCGGGGGGAGGGACGGGGGCACCGGGGCCCAUUUGUCAUCUUUGGGCCCCACUAUAACAUCUUGGUCCCCGAUGGCAGCCGACAUGAAAGAAAUCAGAUCACAACAUCGAUCUGUUUGUAAAUGACUAAUAAACAUUUGGCAAUUUG